Molecule: ribosomal RNA, 266 nt
Filed under: uncultured bacterium
Lineage: Bacteria
Description: partial 16S ribosomal RNA
Rfam family: Bacterial small subunit ribosomal RNA
Source: RNAcentral
UGGCGACCGGCGCACGGGUGAGUAACACGUAUCCAACCUGCCGAUAACUCCGGAAUAGCCUUUACGAAAGAAAGAUUAAUACCGGAUGGCAUACGAAUAUCGCAUGAUAUUUUUAUUAAAGAAUUUCGGUUAUCGAUGGGGAUGCGUUCCAUUAGUUUGUUGGCGGGGUAACGGCCCACCAAGGCGACGAUCCCUAGCUGGUCUGAGAGGAUGACCAGCCACACUGGAACUGAGACACGGUCCAGACUCCUACGGGAGGCAGCAUG